UUUCCGUAGGUGAACCUGCGGAAGGAUCAUUAACACUACAAGCUUUCAAACUUGUAUCUACCCCUUGGGUGCCAGUUGCCUCAGUGUCACCUGUUCUGUUUCACUUUCACAAUUUUUUUACAAUUUUUUAUACCCUGUUCAACCAACUGACUGAAACUAAUUGCCUUGACUGGCAAGAAAGCACAAAAUAUCUGUACAACUCUUAGCAACGGAUAUCUUGGCUCUC
RNAcentral lists this unclassified non-coding RNA (226 nucleotides) under fungal sp. RNAcentral describes it as "partial contains small subunit ribosomal RNA, internal transcribed spacer 1, and 5.8S ribosomal RNA". Lineage: Eukaryota; Fungi. The record is from RNAcentral. RNAcentral also lists the same sequence under 1 other name.